CCUACGGGAGGCAGCAGUGGGGAAUAUUGGACAAUGGGCGCAAGCCUGAUCCAGCCAUGCCGCGUGUGUGAAGAAGGUCUUCGGAUUGUAAAGCACUUUAAGUUGGGAGGAAGGGCAGUAAGCGAAUACCUUGCUGUUUUGACGUUACCGACAGAAUAAGCACCGGCUAACUCUGUGCCAGCAGGCGCGGUAAU
RNAcentral lists this ribosomal RNA (194 nucleotides) under uncultured bacterium. Its description in RNAcentral is "partial 16S rRNA". It matches the Rfam family "Bacterial small subunit ribosomal RNA", at positions 338 to 524 of the family's 1533-position model. The record is from RNAcentral.